This 210-nucleotide unclassified non-coding RNA is filed under the name plant metagenome. RNAcentral describes it as "partial contains small subunit ribosomal RNA and internal transcribed spacer 1". The stretch from base 1 to 46 matches the Rfam family "Eukaryotic small subunit ribosomal RNA", at positions 1786 to 1831 of the family's 1831-position model. The record is from RNAcentral.
AAGUCGUAACAAGGUUUCCGUAGGUGAACCUGCGGAAGGAUCAUUAAGAAACUGAGGGGGCGCGAAAGCGUCUUCCCUCUUUCCUAACCACUGUGAAACGACCGGUUGCUUCGGCAGCUUGGAUCCUUCUGGGUCCAGUCAGCCUGCCGGCGGCACCAAUCGAAACCAUUUUUUGUAACUGUCGUCUGAAACACGAAACUAAUCGUUAAA